Arachis stenosperma is the source of this 108-nucleotide small nucleolar RNA. The record is from RefSeq and is a predicted model, not a curated record. NCBI's taxonomy places the organism in Eukaryota, Viridiplantae, Streptophyta, Magnoliopsida, Fabales, Fabaceae.
AAACAUAUCAGGGGGGCAUUUCCUUGUUAAAUCUUUGAAUCUUUCCUAGGCUUCAUAAAUUAUCUCACCAUCCUACUGUCUGAAUGUCUGCAAUUCAGUUCUCAGCCU